This 72-nucleotide transfer RNA is filed under the name Candidatus Woesebacteria bacterium. Its description in RNAcentral is "tRNA-Arg". It matches the Rfam family "tRNA". From Rfam's summary of the family: Transfer RNA (tRNA) molecules are approximately 80 nucleotides in length. Their secondary structure includes four short double-helical elements and three loops (D, anti-codon, and T loops). The record is from RNAcentral. RNAcentral also lists the same sequence under 1 other name. Lineage: Bacteria; Candidatus Woeseibacteriota.
GUUUCCGUAGUUCAAUGGAUAGAAUUCUCCCCUCCGAAGGGAGUGAUGUGAGUUCGAUUCUCACCGGAAACA